RNAcentral lists this ribosomal RNA (450 nucleotides) under uncultured bacterium. RNAcentral describes it as "bacterial SSU rRNA". It matches the Rfam family "Bacterial small subunit ribosomal RNA", at positions 9 to 451 of the family's 1533-position model. The record is from RNAcentral.
GAGUUUGAUCCUGGCUCAGGAUGAACGCUGGCGGCGUGCUUAACACAUGCAAGUCGAACGGACCCAUAUUGAAACCUAGUGAUAUAUGGGUUAGUGGCGGACGGGUGAGUAACGCGUGGGUAACCUGCCUUACACAGGGGGAUAACACUUAGAAAUAGGUGCUAAAACCGCAUAAGCGCACAGCUCCGCAUGAAGCGGUGUGAAAAACUCCGGUGGUGUAAGAUGGACCCGCGUCUGAUUAGCUUGUUGGCGGGGUAACGGCCCACCAAGGCGACGGUCAGUAGCCGGCCUGAGAGGGCGGACGGCCACAUUGGGACUGAGACACGGCCCAGACUCCUACGGGAGGCAGCAGUGGGGAAUAUUGCACAAUGGGGGAAACCCUGAUGCAGCGACGCCGCGUGAGUGAAGAAGUAAUUCGUUACGUAAAGCUCUAUGCAGCAGGGAAGAAAU